This 253-nucleotide ribosomal RNA is filed under the name uncultured bacterium. RNAcentral describes it as "partial 16S ribosomal RNA". It matches the Rfam family "Bacterial small subunit ribosomal RNA", at positions 524 to 776 of the family's 1533-position model. The record is from RNAcentral.
UACGUAGGGUGCGAGCGUUAAUCGGAAUUACUGGGCGUAAAGCGUGCGCAGGCGGUUCGUUGUGUCCGUCGUGAAAGCCCCGGGCUUAACCUGGGAACUGCGAUGGAAACUAGCGAGCUGGAGUGUGGCAGAGGGGGGUGGAAUUCCGCGUGUAGCAGUGAAAUGCGUAGAGAUGCGGAGGAACACCGAUGGCGAAGGCGGAUCUCUGGGCCUUACCUGACGCUCAGGCGCGAAAGCUAGGGGAGCGAACAGG